AUUUAUAUAAUAUAUUUAGUAUAUUUGACUUCCAAUCAAAAAGUUUAAAUUUCUUUAAUAUAAAUA
Molecule: transfer RNA, 66 nt
Filed under: Botyodes diniasalis
Lineage: Eukaryota; Metazoa; Arthropoda; Insecta; Lepidoptera; Crambidae
Description: tRNA-Gly
Source: RNAcentral